This 1596-nucleotide long non-coding RNA is filed under the name Brassica napus (rape). Its description in RNAcentral is "long non-coding RNA (BNAP_LNC022355)". The record is from RNAcentral. Lineage: Eukaryota; Viridiplantae; Streptophyta; Magnoliopsida; Brassicales; Brassicaceae.
CUCGGAUGAAUAGGUCUCUGAAAAGCUUCUUUAAGUAGGAAUAAUCAGGUUUGUCUUCAAACCGUAACGAACGCACGUAGAGGAAAUAAGAUGUGAACUCAGGUGGAAAGUUUUUACAGAGGACCUCCACUGGUGUAAGUCUUUUCUUUUCGCUGAUCUUGUCAUACUUCUGCUUCUUGGUUCCUGCACGAAGUCCUUGCCAUGGAAGGCUGAAAAGAGAAAUUACAGAUCAGAAACAAGUCUAAUAUACAAUGAAGAGUAGAAAAGAGUAGACUUAUUGAUUUACCUUCCUCGGAGAAAAUACAUAAGCAUGUAGCCAAGAGACUCCAGAUCAUCCCUCCUACUUUGCUCUGUUAUAUUAAAAUACUAAUUAAGAAAGUGUCAAGUCUCUCAAGUGCAUGCAAGUUGAUGGUAACAUGAGAAGCAAGAAACAAAAAAAAAGACUAACCAAUUCCAAGAUGGGUGUUAACACUUGCAUACCGAGCUGUUCCUGUAAGAUUCUUGUUAUCUCUGAGAAGCAACAACACUUUCAGAUUAGCAAAGUGAAAGCCAUCUAAGAAAACAACUCAACUUUGGGUAGCUAAACAAACUGUUGCAAUGCAACCUGGAUAGUUUCUACCAAUGUUGAAAAAUCACUAGGCGGUAACUAGGCGCUUUAUAGGGAAUUACUGAUUUGCCGCUUUAGAACAACUUUCUACAUGAGGAGACAGAGUAGGUACCUGUAAGGAAUAUGCUUGUGUGUUUGAAGAUCUCUAUACUUUUUCGCUAGCCCAUAGUCAAUGAUGUAAACCUGUAAAGUAAUAGACCCAGAUGGUAUUUAAACCAAAUUUAUGAAAAAUACUCAAGCUCUCAAACUGUACUCACCUGGUUAGCUUUGCGGCCAAGACCCAUCAAGAAGUUAUCUGGCUUAAUAUCACGGUGAAGAAAGCCUCGCACAUGCAUAUACUCCACUCUGUUUAACUACCGUAUACAAAAAUUGAAACCAUAGUGUAAGCACAUGGAAUCAAGUAGAAGAAAAGGAACAAAAAUGAACUACUACCAUCUGAUCAGCGAGCAUUAGAACAGUCUUGAGGGAGAAAGAACGACUGCAAUAGUUGAAAAACUCCUCCAAACUAGGACCAAGAAGGUCGAUCACCAUACAGUUGUAUUCACUCUCAACCCCAAACCAUUUAAGGUGAGGAAUACCAGCUUCAAUAACACAAAAUACAUAAUUAUAUAAACAUUAAGAAACAAGAUUGAAGAGUGAAGAGUCAAAAGCGGGGAUACCUCAGUAUUGUCCAAUCGAAUACAUAGUCAAACUGGUAACCUGCACACAUGAGAAUCAAAUCAGUUUCUUGAGAAUGUUCAUUAGAAUUAUUGAAAGAUAGAGAAUAAGUGUAUACCCUCUCGGAUGAAUAGGUCUCUGAAAAGCUUCUUUAAGUAGGAAUAAUCAGGUUUGUCUUCAAACCGUAACGAACGCACGUAGAGGAAAUAAGAUGUGAACUCAGGUGGAAAGUUUUUACAGAGGACCUCCACUGGUGUAAGUCUUUUCUUUUCGCUGAUCUUGUCAUACUUCUGCUUCUUGGUUCCUGCACGAAGUCCUUGCCAUGGAAGGCU